UUUCCAUUUUAGUCUGAUUCUCCACCAUGCAGCGCCCGGGACUCUGGUGGGAAUGGCACCUUCGAUCAGAAUGGAUGUAACACCCUCAUGAGCGGACCGGGGAAGAGAGUGGAUACGAUCACUUGCAGAUGUGACCGUCUGGGUUUCUUCUUUGUACUAACACUGGAAUCGAAGGAUGCAGGUGUUGCUGGAUGGGCCAACAAUAGUUCCCUGUCCCUCAUUGCUCUGGAGAAGCUGGUUGUGUGCUGCCUACCUGAAC
Molecule: non-coding RNA, 259 nt
Organism: Chiloscyllium plagiosum (whitespotted bambooshark)
Lineage: Eukaryota; Metazoa; Chordata; Chondrichthyes; Orectolobiformes; Hemiscylliidae
Source: RefSeq, a predicted model, not a curated record